GACGAACGCUGGCGGCGUGCUUAACACAUGCAAGUCGAACGGAAGGCCCUGCUUUUGUGGGGUGCUCGGGUGGCGAACGGGUGAAUAACACGUUAAUCACCUGCCCUUGACUUUGGGAUAACUUCAGGCAACUGGGGCUACUACCGGGUAAGACCUCCUGCUUCGUGGGGGGGGGUGGGAAUUUUCGGCGGUUGGGGAUGGACUCGCGGCUUAUCAGCUUGUUGGUGGGGUAGUGGCUUACCAAGGCUUUGACGGGUAGCCGGCCUGGGAGGGUGACCGGCCACAUUGGGACUGAGAUACGGCCCGGACUCCUACGGGAGGCAGCAGUGGGGAAUAUUGCACAAUGGGCGGAAGCCUGAUGCAGCAACGCCGCAUGCGGGAUGACGGCCUUCGGGUUGUAAACGGCUUUCGCCUGUGACGAAGCGUGAGUGACGGUAAUGGGUAAAGAAGCACCGGCUAACUACGUG
RNAcentral lists this ribosomal RNA (467 nucleotides) under uncultured bacterium. RNAcentral describes it as "partial 16S ribosomal RNA". It matches the Rfam family "Bacterial small subunit ribosomal RNA", at positions 28 to 507 of the family's 1533-position model. The record is from RNAcentral.